This is a long non-coding RNA of Xenia sp. Carnegie-2017, 669 nucleotides long. RefSeq lists it as uncharacterized. The transcript is spliced from 2 exons. The record is from RefSeq and is a predicted model, not a curated record. NCBI's taxonomy places the organism in Eukaryota, Metazoa, Cnidaria, Anthozoa, Malacalcyonacea, Xeniidae.
AACAAAGACUUCAAAAGUGGUCAAGAGGGCAUUUGUUUAUAGUUAGAGGAGGAGGAAUAAUCGAUAAAUGGAGUCCUCUUUAUAGAUCUGAAAGCCCUUCUCAAGUGUUUUUGAUAACUCUUUCUUGGCUGCGCAUUAUGUUAAAGGAAAUCAACCCAAUGAAUUGGAGUUCCGUUUUUUUUUCAUAUGACAACAUGUGCCACCUAGAUGGCUUACAAGCAGCGAAAAAAGUUUUGCCAUGGUCUCAACCAUGGGAUAAAGCAUGGCUGUCAGUUCGUAAAAUAAUUGAUAGCCAUCCUAUCAAAAAUCACAAAGACGAGAAAUGCCUGGAGAAAUACAAUCCUUUGCCUUUAAAAACUGAAAUCCCAAAUGGAAAUACAAUGGCUGCUGAACAGACUUUCGUCUGGCUUUCCAGGUUUAAGAAGAUACUGUGUGCUAUGCCCAAAGUACAUCAUUUGUUUUAUUUACAUAGAAUGGUAAAGCACAGAAACAAAUAUACUGUUAGAUGCUAUAAGAGUGGUAAAAAACCUCUUUUACCAGUCGUUCGUAAGACGGAAAGCUAAUUCAUUCCCUUUUUAUUCACGCAUCUGUAAUCGGAGAUGAGCAAUUAUAUAUGCAUGGUCGAUUAUCUACAACAAACGAAUAAUAGUCGAUUUUACUAGUAUUGAA